This 517-nucleotide ribosomal RNA is filed under the name uncultured bacterium. RNAcentral describes it as "partial 16S ribosomal RNA". It matches the Rfam family "Bacterial small subunit ribosomal RNA", at positions 29 to 523 of the family's 1533-position model. The record is from RNAcentral.
AACGAACGCUGGCGGCGUGGAUAAGACAUGCAAGUCGAACGGGAUUUUUUUCUGUAGCAAUACAGGAGAAAGUCUAGUGGCGAACGGGUGCGUAACACGUGAGCAACCUGCCGUGAAGUGGGGGAUAGCUCGCCGAAAGGCGAAUUAAUACCGCAUGUGGCCAAGGAAGACAUCUUCCGGACGCCAAAGCCGGGGCAACCUGGCGCUUCUCGAGGGGCUCGCGGCCUUUCAGCUGGUUGGUGAGGUAACGGCUCACCAAGGCUAUGACGGGUAGCUGGUCUGAGAGGACGACCAGCCACACUGGAACUGAGAUACGGUCCAGACACCUACGGGUGGCAGCAGUCGAGAAUUUUUCACAAUGGGGGAAACCCUGAUGGAGCGACGCCGCGUGGAGGAUGAAGGUUUUCGGAUUGUAAACUCCUGUCAUUAGAGAACAGGGCACACGGUUUAACUGGCCGUGUGUUGAUAGUAUCUGAAGAGGAAGAGACGGCUAACUCUGUGCCAGCAGCCGCCGUAA